RNAcentral lists this ribosomal RNA (814 nucleotides) under uncultured bacterium. RNAcentral describes it as "bacterial SSU rRNA". It matches the Rfam family "Bacterial small subunit ribosomal RNA", at positions 50 to 914 of the family's 1533-position model. The record is from RNAcentral.
UACACAUGCAAGUCGAACGCCGYAGCAAURCGGAGUGGCAGACGGGUGAGUAACGCGUGGGAACAUACCCUUCGGUUCGGAAUAACUCAGGGAAACUUGGGCUAAUACCGGAUACGUCCGCGAGGAGAAAGAUUUAUCGCCGAAGGAUUGGCCCGCGUCUGAUUAGCUUGUUGGUGAGGUAAUGGCUCACCAAGGCGACGAUCAGUAGCUGGUCUGAGAGGAUGAUCAGCCACAUUGGGACUGAGACACGGCCCAAACUCCUACGGGAGGCAGCAGUGGGGAAUAUUGGACAAUGGGCGCAAGCCUGAUCCAGCCAUGCCGCGUGAGUGAUGAAGGCCCUAGGGUUGUAAAGCUCUUUUACCCGGGAAGAUAAUGACGGUACCGGGAGAAUAAGCCCCGGCUAACUUCGUGCCAGCAGCCGCGGUAAUACGAAGGGGGCUAGCGUUGUUCGGAAUCACUGGGCGUAAAGCGCACGUAGGCGGAUCUUUAAGUCAGGGGUGAAAUCCCGGGGCUCAACCUCGGAACUGCCUUUGAUACUGGGGAUCUCGAGUCCGGGAGAGGUGAGUGGAACUGCGAGUGUAGAGGUGAAAUUCGUAGAUAUUCGCAAGAACACCAGUGGCGAAGGCGGCUCACUGGCCCGGUACUGACGCUGAGGUGCGAAAGCGUGGGGAGCAAACAGGAUUAGAUACCCUGGUAGUCCACGCCGUAAACGAUGGAUGCUAGCCGUUAGGCAGCUUGCUGCUUAGUGGCGCAGUUAACGCUUUAAGCAUCCCGCCUGGGGAGUACGGUCGCAAGAUAAAACUCAAGAAUUGAC